AAUCUCAAAAAGGGGUGCCUUAAUAUAACGGGCUGAGAUCAUACCCAUUGAACCUGAUGCGGCUAAUACCGACGAAGGGAUUUGAGGAAUCCAUCUG
This 97-nucleotide non-coding RNA is filed under the name Leadbetterella byssophila. Its description in RNAcentral is "TPP sequence". It matches the Rfam family "TPP riboswitch aptamer (THI element)". From Rfam's summary of the family: Vitamin B(1) in its active form thiamin pyrophosphate (TPP) is an essential coenzyme that is synthesised by coupling of pyrimidine and thiazole moieties in bacteria. The previously detected thiamin-regulatory element, thi box was extended, resulting in a new, highly conserved RNA secondary structure, the THI element, which is widely distributed in eubacteria and also occurs in some archaea. Lineage: Bacteria; Pseudomonadati; Bacteroidota; Cytophagia; Cytophagales; Leadbetterellaceae. The record is from RNAcentral. RNAcentral also lists the same sequence under 1 other name.